Molecule: ribosomal RNA, 499 nt
Filed under: Fusarium solani
Lineage: Eukaryota; Fungi; Ascomycota; Sordariomycetes; Hypocreales; Nectriaceae
Description: eukaryotic LSU rRNA
Rfam family: 5.8S ribosomal RNA (bases 124-277)
Source: RNAcentral
UGACAUACCUAAACGUUGCUUCGGCGGGAACAGACGGCCCCGUGAAACGGGCCGCCCCCGCCAGAGGACCCCUAACUCUGUUUCUAUAAUGUUUCUUCUGAGUAAAACAAGCAAAUAAAUUAAAACUUUCAACAACGGAUCUCUUGGCUCUGGCAUCGAUGAAGAACGCAGCGAAAUGCGAUAAGUAAUGUGAAUUGCAGAAUUCAGUGAAUCAUCGAAUCUUUGAACGCACAUUGCGCCCGCCAGUAUUCUGGCGGGCAUGCCUGUUCGAGCGUCAUUACAACCCUCAGGCCCCCGGGCCUGGCGUUGGGGAUCGGCGGAGCCCCCCGUGGGCACACGCCGUCCCCCAAAUACAGUGGCGGUCCCGCCGCAGCUUCCAUCGCGUAGUAGCUAACACCUCGCGACUGGAGAGCGGCGCGGCCACGCCGUAAAACACCCAACUCUUCUGAAGUUGACCUCGAAUCAGGUAGGAAUACCCGCUGAACUUAAGCAUAUCAAU